UCCCAUUUAUAACGGGUAGUUUUUGCAGUAUGUAUAUAUACAGCAAAUAGAGGUUGCGCUCGUUAAGGGACUUAACCAAACAUCUCACAACACGAGCUGACGACAGCCAUGCAACACCUGUAUAAAAAUAGUAUACUUUUUUCGCAAAAAGAUUUUUAUAUGUCAAGAACUGGUAAGGUUAGGCGCGUAUUAUCGCAUUAAACCACAUGUUCCACCACUUGUAUAGACCCCCGUCAAUUCCUUUGAGUUUCAACCUUGCGGUCGUACUUCUCCGGCGGAGUGCUUCAUGCUUUCGCUUUUUCUGGGUAAAUUAUGUCUACUCCUUAGCACUCAUCUUUGAGGGUGUGGACUAC
Molecule: unclassified non-coding RNA, 353 nt
Filed under: uncultured bacterium
Lineage: Bacteria
Description: contains 16S-23S intergenic spacer region
Source: RNAcentral